UGCAUGUAUAACAUUUGUCCUGAAUCCAAUGCAUUGCAGAGAAUACAGACAAAUACCCCAUAUUGAGACGUAUGUAAGACGUUCUCUAUUGAACACACACACACAUAAA
Molecule: long non-coding RNA, 109 nt
Organism: Etheostoma spectabile (orangethroat darter)
Lineage: Eukaryota; Metazoa; Chordata; Actinopteri; Perciformes; Percidae
Exons: 3
Source: RefSeq, a predicted model, not a curated record